RNAcentral lists this long non-coding RNA (1893 nucleotides) under Canis lupus familiaris (dog). RNAcentral's name for it is "lncRNA (ENSCAFG00845029953.1)". Lineage: Eukaryota; Metazoa; Chordata; Mammalia; Carnivora; Canidae. The record is from RNAcentral.
AUGCAAGAUGGAUCUUGCCUCGGGGUGUCUACCACAAAGCCGCAUACAGGGGCUUUAUUGGGGGAAAUAAAGAUAUAUAGGGGCAGGACAGCAAGAAAAAAGGCACAGAUCCUCCAUUUCUUGUCAUCCCAUGGAGAGGCCAAUAUGGGCCAGAGUCCUGUUUGGUCUCACAAAGGAGCACACACACAUCUGCCUUCUAGUCCCCUCUUUUAAGGAGCAAGCAUGAAGAAACAGUCCUGUCAAUGAAGGAAUGUACAAGCCACCGAGCAACAGGCAGUUGGGACUGAGGUGGAUGCUUUAUAGAAAUUGUCUGUGAAUGCAGCUGCCUAUGGAAUGUUACAGUCUCCACCACUGGGGUAAAGAAAACUCUGGUUCCAUGGGCCCUGAGCUUGGGUGCAGAAGGGGAACUCUUAGCCACAGCUAGCUUGUUGUCCAGGCAACCCAGAAUGAAGUCCCAGUGCCACAGUCCUGCUGUGUCUGGGUAGGGGUUGGCAAACCUUGUCUAUAAAGGGCCAGAUGAAAAAGUUUUGGCUUUGCAAGCCUCUCUUGUCACAACUACUCAAGUCUGCUCUUGUAUAAUAAAAGCAGUUGUAGACAACAUGUAAACAAACGGAUGUGUCUGUGUUCUGAUAAAACUGUAUUUAUACAAAUAGACGACAGUCCACGUUGGGCCAUCAUUAGCUGAUCCCUGAUCUAGGCAAAAGAUUAUGGUAAUUUCAAUUGUGGAGAUGGCAGUGGGGAUGAAAUAUUUUACAAAUGUUUAAAAGAUAAAAUAUGUGGGACUUGAAGAUGAAUAUGGGAAAGGCAAGGGAGAGGGACAGGUCAAAGAACUCAUUCAUCGGUUCCAUGGUCCUGAGUAAGGUCUGUCACGGGGGCAGGCACUCUGUUAGCAGUAGGGAUACAAGCAGUAAAAACAAAAACAAAAACAAAACAGUUCCCUACCUCACAAUCUUAUAUUAAAUCUGGGAAGCAAUAAAUAGGUGGUAGUAAGUACUAAGAAUAUUUAAGUAGCCACAGUGACAAGAUAGGAAUGUGUUAUUUUAGAAAAGGUAAUCAGGGAAGGCUUCCUAUGGAAGAAACAUUCACCCAUUCCUUUCAUCCCCAGUCUUUCUCCCCUUCCAUCCAUUAUUUCUGUGAUUUCACUCUGCGGGUUCUCCUAGCUCUCCAGCCAUACUCUCUCAGGUUCCCUUGAGGGCUGUUUGUUCUCUCAAUUCCUGUGAUCAGCUGCAACUUCUCACUUGGUAACUCUUCCUGACAAUCUCAUGGACUCCCUGACUUCAGUGACAACCUAAACACCUACAACCAAAACACAAAUCUCUGUUUAACCUCAGCCACACGUACCAAACACAUGCUGGAUAUCCUCAGCCAGACUGUCCCCAAAUCCAGAAAGUAAAAAAAAGGUAAAUUAAUUUUUCCUUGUCUUCGUUCCAAAUUCCCAUUGCUGGGGAACGGCAUCACCAUCUACCCAGUUGUACCUGCUAGGAAGCAGGACUCUCGCUAGACUCCUUCCCUGCCUUCCCUCCACAUCCCAUUAGUCAUCAAGGCCAUCUGCUCUGUGUCUCACCCUGGGGUCCUCUUCCCUGCAUCAGUGCUCUCACUGGGACUCUUGCAGUUACUAUUGCCAUGAUUUAAUUUUUGAACAGGUAAACCGUUUACAUUUUCAAGAAGCAUAAAAUGGGUUUACAGUGAAAAGUCUUCCUCCACCCUCUUCAUCCUCCCAGAGGCAACUAAUUUACUCACUUUUUAAUAUAUACUUUUCCAGGAAUAGUUUAUACGAAAAUGUAUAUUUAUAUAUUCUAAACUUUUUUUCAGUCACUAAAAUUGUAGCAUGCCAUAGACAGUUUUCUAAUUGUUUUCUAUGUAAUACAUCUUUGAGAUCUUUCUUUUCAGUAA